ACCAAACUACAGGGUUGAUAAGCGGCAAAUAUGGAGAAUUUUCGAUGGUAUCAGUUUGUAAAAAAUAGAUGAUGAGUCAACGGGCAAGAGGAUUACUCGAAAGGGUUAUCAUAAUCUACGAUCGAUUAUAAUUGUACUGAUACUGAGAGGAGAAAUCAAUUCAACUUUUACAAGAUAUUACCUAUGUGCGUGACGUGUUUCUCGCGUCAGUAAAAUCAAUGUUCCCAAUCAUCAUAAGUUCUGGUGUGGAAGUAUUCCAAUCACGAUCGCUUUCUGAAGUAGUUACAAAUGUUAAGUGAUCUGUAAGCCAGGAAGGAACUGAUUGAGCUGCCUAGCACUUGCUAUUCACUUCCACAUUAACCAAUCAGCACACACUAGAAGCACUAUUUUCACUUGUGGUAUGUAGUAAUAUAAAUUGUAGUAUUCUUAAAUGGUAAAAACUUGCCAAAGAGUUGAUUGAUUUUUCAGCUUUUUUGUCUCCUUUUUUUUUUAACAUUUAUUUUUUUUCCACCACUGGCUUCCACAGAUUUUGGAUCUGCUUUUUACAAGACUAAUGCAGGUUGCUCUCUCCUGGCACUAGAAUCCAAACUCCUUGAACUUUUGUAAUUGAUAUAUGGUCAUAACGUACUGGAAAAAAUAGAAAUUCCUAUUUUUGUUAGUUCCUAACAAAUGU
This is a long non-coding RNA of Pocillopora damicornis (cauliflower coral), 673 nucleotides long. Lineage: Eukaryota; Metazoa; Cnidaria; Anthozoa; Scleractinia; Pocilloporidae. The record is from RefSeq and is a predicted model, not a curated record.